UUUUACAAGUUGGACUGAUUAAGUUGUUUAAUUAUAUUACCAUAUUGGCAAACUUUAGAGUUUAGACCUAAUGGUUUUUGUGAAAGUUAAUUAUUGUGCAAACAUAAUAUUAGAUAAGAGCAUUGAACUCUUGUACUUUUUUAUUAUCAUUUUGUUUAGAUAUAAUAACAUUUAUUUUUCUUUGAAUAGAAUUCUUACUGGACUGUAUAUUAUAACUGUUUAUUCUGUGGCCUAUUGAAUGUUUUCGACCAACACAAUUACUAGGAUCUAAAGAAUGGAUUAUGUGUUAAUAGUCAAAUAUUUCAUUUAAUUAUCAGUUUAUUUUUCAGAUAUAUUGAUAGGUAUUGUAAUAUAGGUGGACAUUAAUAAUAUUAAAUUGGUACCUAAAUACCACAUGUGAUGAAAAAUAAAAAGAACUAAUAUUAUACUGACUUCAUGAAUUUAAGAAGUACAUUGAGGUAGUCAAGAAUAAAAUAACCAAAGAAACUAUCUUCUACAUUUGACAUGAAAUCUGGCAUACUCAAUUUUUACAGGUAUUUAUUUGUGGCAACACCUACCUAUGGGGUUAAGCAGUGAUUCAUAGUUAAAAGGGUUGCAACCCUUUUAACCAGCUGCAUUAAUUCAUUCUAGGUACUAAAAAGGGUGCAAAAAAUCAAAAUGGCUUCUGUACACUAAAAAAGGUGUUGGUAUAUCUGUGUCGGCAGGGCAUAUGUUAGCGAGUGCGCACCAUCAGAAUGAAUCGCAUAUCAUUGGGGAGUACAGACUUACUGUGUGUGGUAAAGAAAAAAAAGGGUAAAUAGCCUUUUAUUUUUUAGCCAACCACAGUGCUUCAUGCAAAGGAGUCCAAAGGGUUCCUGUUGUCCGCUGUUGCCGUACAAUACCGAUAGUAACGCUACAGUUGUGUUUGUGUGUUCGACAAACGUACAUGUUGUGAUUUUAGUUUACUAUUCUCUUGUUUUUCUUUAUAAUAAAACGUGUGUUUUUAAGUUAUUAGAAUUUUUCUUCAGUGUUUGUUAUUUAUUCAUAUAAUUUUUUUUUUUUAAUUGCCAGCAGAAAGGAUUAAUUAAUAAGAAUAUGUAUAAAAGAACAUGGGCUGCAAUGGUCUCAAGUACAAUUGUUUUUUGGAAUAAGUUUAUUAUACGAGUAUACGUUGCAGUGGACAGACAUUUUCUCGAUAUAUAUUGGGCACGUUGCCUAUACAGUUCGCCGUCCAAUACACUUAUGAACGAGAUAAGGAGAAAACGGUCUCCCGCCCGGAAUCAUUUCGAGAAUAACAAUGAAGACGGUUUUAAUUCUAGCAUUGUACAGCGAGCCGAAGCUUUUAUUAACGUCCAAAGCUCUACGGGCUUUUAAUAUAUAUAUGUACGUGUAUGUGUGGGAUGGAUGAAAAGCCGAGGCAGCGGUCCCGGAAACAGAGAUGGAAAGAUAUGACUCCCAAUAUUCUGUUUGCACUGUGAACAAAUAAAAAAGACCAAGAAAUGACUGCGAUUUAAUAUAUUAUGGUUUGUUGGAAACGUAAUACAUUAAGGAUCACGUUGAACUUUUUUGGAUACUCAUACCAUAUGAUCAAUACGUUCAAAUGGUGAUAUGUUGAACUGCCUUCAACGUCACUUUAGUACGUUGUUGAGAAUUGUUCGUUUUCCGCUUAUUACUACUAUUUGCAGUUCAGCUAUGAAAGCACACUCGUUCUUAUCACGAACUUACAUCGCCUUAAACCAUAAAUAAUCAAGUUAUGUGUAUAUACUUUUACUAGUCUUAAUGUAUAUUCUGUUAUUAUAUCGUUAUUUAAAAACAUAUUGCCGAUUAGUGUUUCAGGUAAAAAAUAACAGCUGCACGUACAGUCAAGACGAAAACGAUGUUGUCAUAUUGAUAUGAGUUUAAAAUUCAGAACUUUUGUCAUUAUGAGCACCUAUAAUACAGGAGUAUCAUGUGAUUAUAAAACAACGUCUUAACGUUUUGCGGAUAAGUCCGAUAUAAGACGAGUCUAACCCAAUUAACAUUAUAUUAUAUAAAUAUAUUGUAUUGUUAAAACAAAAAACAAUAAUAAAAUAUUAUAUAAAAGAA
Long non-coding RNA from Melanaphis sacchari, 2064 nucleotides. RefSeq lists it as uncharacterized. The record is from RefSeq and is a predicted model, not a curated record. Lineage: Eukaryota; Metazoa; Arthropoda; Insecta; Hemiptera; Aphididae. The transcript has 9 exons.